AUUAUUUUAAGAUUAUUUUUUAUUGUUGAAAAAAUUAAAAAUAAAUUGUUUUUAACAAAAAUUAAAAUUUAUAAUAUUUCAUUUUUUGGUUUUUUGUUUUAAAUUAAAAUAAUAAAUAUGGGGGAAAAAAAAAUUUUGUUAUAAAUUAUAUUAGUUUAUUUUAAUUAAAAAUAUUUUUUAUUAAAUUUGUUUUUUUUAUUUUUUUAUAAAAAAUAUUAAUUUAAUUAUUAUUAUUGAGUUUAAUUUAGUUAUUUUUAAAAAAAUUUUGUAUAAAAUAAAUUUGAUAAUAAAUGUUUUUUAAAUUCUUUGGGGGUUUAGUUUAUGAUUUUUUGUUUCUGCUCAUUGUUAAAUAAAAGCACUUUUAGCGUGAUUG
RNAcentral lists this ribosomal RNA (373 nucleotides) under Meloidogyne enterolobii. RNAcentral's name for it is "partial 16S ribosomal RNA". The record is from RNAcentral. Lineage: Eukaryota; Metazoa; Nematoda; Chromadorea; Rhabditida; Meloidogynidae.